GAUGAACGCUGGCGGCGUGCCUAAUACAUGCAAGUCGAGCGAACGGACGAGGAGCUUGCUUCUCUGAUGUUAGCGGCGGACGGGUGAGUAACACGUGGAUAACCUACCUAUAAGACUGGGAUAACUUCGGGAAACCGGAGCUAAUACCGGAUAAUAUUUUGAACCGCAUGGUUCAAUAGUGAAAGACGGUCUUGCUGUCACUUAUAGAUGGAUCCGCGCUGCAUUAGCUAGUUGGUAAGGUAACGGCUUACCAAGGCAACGAUGCGUAGCCGACCUGAGAGGGUGAUCGGCCACACUGGAACUGAGACACGGUCCAGACUCCUACGGGAGGCAGCAGUAGGGAAUCUUCCGCAAUGGGCGAAAGCCUGACGGAGCAACGCCGCGUGAGUGAUGAAGGUCUUCGGAUCGUAAAACUCUGUUAUUAGGGAAGAACAUAUGUGUAAGUAACUGUGCACAUCUUGACGGUACCUAAUCAGAAAGCCACGGCUAACUACGUG
This 497-nucleotide ribosomal RNA is filed under the name uncultured bacterium. RNAcentral's name for it is "partial 16S ribosomal RNA". It matches the Rfam family "Bacterial small subunit ribosomal RNA", at positions 28 to 507 of the family's 1533-position model. The record is from RNAcentral.